CAGCACUAAGAAGAUGUGUCCGAUAAACUGAGACUACCUCUUGAUGCUGCCUUUUAGCAUCAGCUAGCUGUUGUUGCAGUGUUUUUACUUGGUUCUGGAGCAUUUCUACCUGCUGGUUCUGCCUCUUCGCAGGAAUCCCACUGGUGUACGUAAGCUGAGACAAGCCAUUAAGAGCUUGUUUUAAUCGUUCCACAUCAUUAAGCAGCUCUGUUAUCUUGUUAUCCUUGGCUUCCACCUGCUUUGCAGACUCCUGUAUUCUUUUCUGCAAGUCAAUAAUUGUAGUCAGUGAUUUAUCACACCUCUCUUUC
This 308-nucleotide long non-coding RNA is filed under the name Gallus gallus (chicken). Lineage: Eukaryota; Metazoa; Chordata; Aves; Galliformes; Phasianidae. The record is from RNAcentral.